RNAcentral lists this ribosomal RNA (201 nucleotides) under Escherichia coli. RNAcentral's name for it is "partial 23S ribosomal RNA". It matches the Rfam family "Bacterial large subunit ribosomal RNA", at positions 10 to 211 of the family's 2925-position model. Lineage: Bacteria; Pseudomonadati; Pseudomonadota; Gammaproteobacteria; Enterobacterales; Enterobacteriaceae. The record is from RNAcentral.
ACUAAGCGUACACGGUGGAUGCCCUGGCAGUCAGAGGCGAUGAAGGACGUGCUAAUCUGCGAUAAGCGUCGGUGAGGUGAUAUGAACCGUUAUAACCGGCGAUUUCCGAAUGGGGAAACCCAGUGUGUUUCGACACACUAUCAUUAACUGAAUCCAUAGGUUAAUGAGGCGAACCGGGGGAACUGAAACAUCUAAGUACCC